CCUACGGGAGGCAGCAGUGAGGAAUAUUGGACAAUGGGCGCAAGCCUGAUCCAGCCAUGCCGCGUGCAGGAAGACGGUCCUAUGGAUUGUAAACUGCUUUUGUACGGGAAGAAACACUCCUUCGUGAAGGAGCUUGACGGUACCGUAAGAAUAAGGAUCGGCUAACUCCGUGCCAGCAGCCGCGGUAAUACGGGAGGAUCCAAGCGUUAUCCGGAAUCAUUAGGGUUUAAAGGGUCCGUAGGCGGUUUAGUAAGUCAGUGGUGAAAGCCCAUCGCUCAACGGUGGAACGGCCAUUGAUACUGCUAGACUUGAAUUAUUAGGAAGUAACUAGAAUAUGUAGUGUAGCGGUGAAAUGCUUAGAGAUUACAUGGAAUACCAAUUGCGAAGGCAGGUUACUACUAAUGGAUUGACGCUGAUGGACGAAAGCGUGGGUAGCGAACAGGAUUAGAUACCCUGGUAGUCCACGCCGUAAACGAUGGAUACUAGCUGUUGGGCGCAAGUUCAGUGGCUAAGCGAAAGUGAUAAGUAUCCACCUGGGGAGUACGUUCGCAAGAUGAAACUCAAAUGAAUUGNGNGNGAGAGAGACGAGACGACGAGAGGAGGAGG
Molecule: ribosomal RNA, 606 nt
Filed under: uncultured bacterium
Lineage: Bacteria
Description: bacterial SSU rRNA
Rfam family: Bacterial small subunit ribosomal RNA
Source: RNAcentral